GCGAUUACUAUAAUUGCCUGCUACACUGAUUUCUGGGAUCACUGGUUUAAAAGUACCAUUACGUUUGCCUGAUCACUGGUUAGCAUGAAACAGAAACACCGCAAAUUCACUGCCUCAGGUCAAUGAUCAGGAUGAAUGUCCUGAAGUGGUGUCCUGACAGGGCCAAGGGAGAGGGGGAGCAAAGAAGAAGACAGUUUGGUAGACAGUUCCAGUGAAUUUCUAACUGAACGGGGAGAAGAGGAAUGUGCAUUUGGUACCAAGGGAGUAUGGAAUGGAGGGAAUGGUGCAGGAACAC
Long non-coding RNA from Callorhinchus milii (elephant shark), 295 nucleotides. RefSeq lists it as uncharacterized. The transcript has 3 exons. The record is from RefSeq and is a predicted model, not a curated record. NCBI's taxonomy places the organism in Eukaryota, Metazoa, Chordata, Chondrichthyes, Chimaeriformes, Callorhinchidae.